Molecule: ribosomal RNA, 229 nt
Filed under: uncultured bacterium
Lineage: Bacteria
Description: partial 16S ribosomal RNA
Rfam family: Bacterial small subunit ribosomal RNA
Source: RNAcentral
GAUCCUGGCUCAGGAUGAACGCUAGCUACAGGCUUAACACAUGCAAGUCGAGGGGCAGCAUGGUAUUAGCUUGCUAAGACUGAUGGCGACCGGCGCACGGGUGAGUAACACGUAUCCAACCUCCCGCAUACUCGGGAAUAGCCUUUCGAAAGAAAGAUUAAUGCCCGAUGGUUUCAAGGGAUUGCAUGGUAUCUUGAAUAAAGAUUCAUCGGUAUGCGAUGGGGAUGCG